RNAcentral lists this ribosomal RNA (274 nucleotides) under uncultured bacterium. RNAcentral's name for it is "partial 16S ribosomal RNA". It matches the Rfam family "Bacterial small subunit ribosomal RNA", at positions 523 to 796 of the family's 1533-position model. The record is from RNAcentral.
AUACGGAAGGUGCGAACGUUGCUCGGAAUCACUGGGCAUAAAGGGCUCGUAGGCGGUCUGCCAGGUCUGGGGUGAAGUCCCUCGGCACAACCGAGGAACUGCCUCAGAAACCGGCAGGCUAGAGGGCAGGAGGGGCGAGCGGAAUUCCUGGUGGAGCGGUGAAAUGCGUAGAUAUCAGGAGGAACGCCGGCGGCGAAAGCGGCUCUCUGGUCUGUUCCUGACGCUGAGGAGCGAAAGCUAGGGUAGCAAACAGGAUUAGAAACCCGAGUAGUCC